Molecule: transfer RNA, 71 nt
Filed under: Rivularia sp. PCC 7116
Lineage: Bacteria; Bacillati; Cyanobacteriota; Cyanophyceae; Nostocales; Rivulariaceae
Rfam family: tRNA
About the family: Transfer RNA (tRNA) molecules are approximately 80 nucleotides in length.
Source: Rfam by way of RNAcentral
GCCUAAUUAGCUCAGUGGUUGAGCAAUCGGUGAAUCGCCGAUAAACGUAGGUUCAAAUCCUGCAUUGGGCA